ACGGGAGGCAGCAGUGGGGAAUAUUGCGCAAUGGGCGAAAGCCUGACGCAGCGACGCCGCGUGAGGGAUGAAGGUUUUCGGAUCGUAAACCUCUGUCAGAAGGGAAGAAUGUCAUGGGUUUGAAUAAGGUCCAUGAGUGACGGUACCUUCAAAGGAAGCACCGGCUAACUCCGUGCCAGCAGCCGCGGUAAUACGGAGGGUGCAAGCGUUAAUCGGAAUCACUGGGCGUAAAGCGCACGUAGGCGGCAUGACAAGUCAGGGGUGAAAUCCCACGGCUCAACCGUGGAACUGCCCUUGAAACUGUCAAGCUUGAGUGCCGGAGAGGGUGGCGGAAUUCCGGGUGUAGGAGUGAAAUCCGUAGAUAUCCGGAAGAACACCGGUGGCGAAGGCGGCCACCUGGACGGCAACUGACGCUGAGGUGCGAAAGCGUGGGUAGCAAACAGGAUUAGAUACCCUGGUA
RNAcentral lists this ribosomal RNA (460 nucleotides) under uncultured Desulfovibrio sp. RNAcentral describes it as "partial 16S ribosomal RNA". It matches the Rfam family "Bacterial small subunit ribosomal RNA", at positions 341 to 792 of the family's 1533-position model. Lineage: Bacteria; Pseudomonadati; Thermodesulfobacteriota; Desulfovibrionia; Desulfovibrionales; Desulfovibrionaceae. RNAcentral also lists the same sequence under 1 other name. The record is from RNAcentral.